Long non-coding RNA from Salvelinus fontinalis (brook trout), 5710 nucleotides. RefSeq lists it as uncharacterized. The transcript has 2 exons. Lineage: Eukaryota; Metazoa; Chordata; Actinopteri; Salmoniformes; Salmonidae. The record is from RefSeq and is a predicted model, not a curated record.
UAGUGUAAGAAAUUGAAAUAGAGACUGGAAACUAGCAAUAACUACACUUCAACAUAAGCCAUAUAUUAUACAAAAACACACAUACUCCUCAUUUCUCUUGGAUAUAUGCUGGACUUAAGACACCAACUAUAGACACACAUAAUUCCCCUCCCCCAUAAUAACCACAGACACACCCAACCCAUGGUUGGACCUCAGGACAAAGAACUCUCAGGAACCAAUGGAACGUGGACACCAGGCCUGAUCAGGACUACCCAAGACCCAGAUCGACCAACCGGAAGGCCGGACUCGCAGAUCUACCUACUUUGCUUGUUGUCUAUAUAGUACUGAACAUUUCUGGAAACUGCCUCUUUCCCGGACGAUUCACUAGGAGUCAGACUGGAAGAGCCUUGCUGCAAGAUUUUACUAAGAUAUCUUUACAUGUAAUUAAACGGCCUUAUUAUAAAAUUAUCCACCUCGUCCUAUUGUCUCCUCUUGUUCUCCUGUCAACAGUAAACGUUUUAUUAACAGACUUGGUAAGCAGAGGAUGGUCAAAACAUAUUUUAAUUCGGCCCAAUAGAAAAUUCAUAGGACAGGAGACGAGAGGGAGAAAGAUUCCAGAGGAGAGGUGACCUUUGAGGGAGAAUCGCGAUUCAACCCACACAGGAAACUGAUCAGAGAGCUCGAAACUAAAGAGCUCUCUCCACACAGAUUCACAAGGUCCAACGGGGAAGCAGAAGGGAGAUCUGGCACACGGAAGGAAAAAAUUGGUGACUGGGUGGGGUUAAUGUCCACAAGAGAAAGUGGCUAGAACCCAGGUGGACUGGACAGUACGAAGUGAGGGAGGUUACUUCACACUCAGUCCAGGUCAAAGGUAAAUCAGGCGCACCUUGGCACCACCUCACACAUUGCACUCCAGCCCCAAUCCCUUCUAGAACACUGACAGAAGUCAGAGCUGACUUAAACAGCUUAAAUUCGAUUCCAAAUGAAGACAUUUCUGACUCGGGUGAUGCGGAAUCAAACUCCGCCUCCCCUGAUAAAGGAACCUCGCCCAGUUAGAGGGAUAUUUCUCCCUCCCUGGGCAAGGCUAGGGAUAUCUGGCCCCUUAUUUGUGAUAUUCCUACUGACAUUUGGGGUGUCCCUGGGCACUUUCACAGGGUUAAUAGAAUAACUAUAACCGGAUCCCCAUGGAUGUAUGUCACGGAGACUCUAGUCUAACUAGGUAAUAAUAGAUUAAAAAAUUAAAAAAAAUUAAAAAUUUAGAAAACAAUAGUUAAAAUAAGAAACUAAUAUGGCUCAAAUUGAGAAGGUUGAAUGAGAGUGGGUGGAGAGCUAUGCAGAGAAUGGACAGAAGAUGGCAGUAUUGCAGCACCCAAUGGUCUCCCAGCCGACUGGUUGAAUGCUGGUGACAUAAUUUUGUUUUUUGGAGUAAACAUUAAGGUUAAGGGUUUCCGUGUACCCAGAGAUAAGAUAUCUUAAAAGAAUACACUCAUAUGGGAAUAGGAGUUUUACUUUCUGAGUUUUAUUUAGGCAAGGGACUUUGAGAAGAUAAAGGGUUCUUUUGGUAUGUUUAGAUAUGGAACACGAAUGUAGGUGUAACAUUUUGACCUGUUUUCUGUUUCCAUUGCAUUUUCCGGCGACUUGAUCACUCGCGGGGAAAUGUAGUGAGAAUAAUGAGAUUGUGUCAUUUGGGAUACUAGUUUUGAGGUAAAUUGAUUAUAAUAGAGUUUAUAACUCUUGACCAUAAGGUAAGCAUUUGUUUUGGCCAUUAGAAGAUAGAGAUAGGUUAAUUAAGGUUAUGUUAGGACUUUAAAGAUUGACACUAUAAGACCUGUUGUUAUUUUUAAAUCCAUGCAGAUAAAGUCAAAACAGUGAGACACUUAGUUAAUAUUGUAAAGGAACACAUAGAAAAAGGCAGACAGAUGGGUCUACCCCGCACUGUUGAGACCUUGAAGGUUUGAGAGCAGAGUGGGGAGGGUGGACCAGGAAAUGAGCAAGGUAGGCUGUGAAAUAAGAUAGGAGAGAAAGGGGUUAACAUAUAUAAGCAGCACAGAUACAUUUCAAAGUAGAUAAGUCACUUGACAGAGAAUUGGAAAAGAAUAGAUAUGAAUGUACGCCCAAGGGAGAAUUGGAAAUGCGGGGAAUAAAAGGGACGUUCCUAGAAUAUGAUGUACUAAGUUAUUAUUUAGAGUAGGUAAGGUUGAUACCUGGCCAGAGCCAGGUAUCAAACGAAGGAGGGUACAUUGUGGACUAGGAAAGGAUGGGGCCUAUUGGAUAAUAAACUUAUUUAAAAUUAAACAUUUAUAGCUAAAAAAAUAAAUAAAUAAUUAGGCAUAGAAGUUAAAUAUAUAAUCAGAAAGAACAAAUGAGGAACUGUUUGCUAACCAAACCUGUAUGUCCAAGAGUUUAUACAUUGCAGGUGAAUUAAGGGAGAAGGUGAAUCACUCGACCUGGGGGCAUAUCGCACUUGGAGGGUGAGACACACCGACACUGCCGAAUGAUCACAGAGUUAAGGAGAAGAACUGUUGCUAAUAAAGCUCAGGGGUCAACUCCUUAAUGAAGAAUUCCCUGACCCCGACCUUUCCUCACUGUGUUCGUUCAUAGAAGUGAAAGUGUUGCUUGAUCUCUGGCUGAUGAUGUGUUCUCUGAGAGAGGGUGGGGUUUUACAGGACUGCUUGUAGUCCUGAGCUGUCUGAUAAGGAUAUGAUGGGGAGGUUACCAUCGCAGUGCUGCCGGAACCACCACCAGUUCCAACGGACCAGGGUUCAGCCGGCCUCCUCCACCACUUCAAGACCAAGUCCCACGCCAUCACCUAAGCUCUCCAAUCUGGUACAGAUAAUAAAUAUAAAAGACAUCUCAGAUAGUGAACAUUUGGGGACUGAAACUGUUUGAGGAAAGGGAGAAUAUGUGUUUGGCCUACAAAACACUUAAUAGAAAGGACUGUGUCGUAUGUGGACAUGCCAGACCUAUUCUGGCUGCUCACCCAUUUGUCCUAAGUAAUGGGGAAGGUUGGAUGUGCAUAUUGGAAAAGUUCGAGCCAAAUUCAACCCUGUGUAAAACUCUGAGUCUUGUGUUCCCAGUGGUCCCUCCCCAGAAGGUACCGUGGGGAGUUAAGGCAUAUGGGGGAUGUAACAGCUGUAUCCCUGGCACAGGUAGCGGUAUGGACUAUGGAAGGCUCCCUGCUACUACCUGCAUCACUAAUACCACUAGGAACUAGAGGUGUUGCUGAUGUAUGGUGGAUGUGUGGACCUGCCAGGCGGUUGACCCCAUUUUUGAAAGGAAAUUGUCGUUGCUCAUGUGUUUUGGCCAGUCUGAUACCACCGUUGCCUAUUAUGAUAGCUAAUCAACUUCUGGGAAGAUACACAGGACACAGAGGCUUGGGACCAACCCAGGAGACGGCAGAAACGUGACGCUCCUUGGUCCGAGGGUACAGAUAACAUGCACACCAACCUGUUGGGGGUCCCAAUAGGGGUCCCCCACGAAUUCCAGACAUUAACCAGGAAUGAUGGCCUGUGGCAUCUGAUGCCCAUCCUUGGCCCAGCUAUUGUUGAUGUUAAAACAAAAGGUCUGGAUCAAUUAUAAACACACCCACACAGGACUUACAGGGAUGGCUGAACAAUUGGAUGCUGCCUCACAAACCAGUAGACACAAUAGACUAACACUGGACAUAAGUCUGGCCAACAAGGGAGGUGUAACAGUGUUGCACGUUUGUUCCUAACAAUACUAGUCCGGAUGGGAGCAUUUCAAAAGCUCUGAGUGGGUUGGCAAGGUUAUCAGUGGAGAUGAAGGGUCUUGCAGGUGUGGAGGAGAGUGGACUGUUCCCCUGGCUGGGUGGUUGUUUUGGUAAGUACACUGCAAUGAUGAUUACUGGAUUUCUGACACUAGUUGUGGUUUUUCAUUUCUGUGUUGCCUGUAUCAUACCUUGUUUGAAGAAGUUUGUUACAGAUGUGUAAGGAGCCUCUAGUAUGAUGCCGUUGCUUGAUGCUCCAGUUGGAGAGGCUGAUACGAAAACGAGCUUCCGCAGGAGAGUGGGCUGACAGAGGAGGACCCUUGGUUUGGUGUAGUUGAUGUUGAAUGAAUAAAAAGUGAUGUUUGUCCUCCCUGUUGUGAAGGUUUGAAGUUCCCGGGUGGCGACGAGCCCACCUGGUACAGGUUGCAUAGAGGGAUGGACCUGAGGGUUUAACAUAUUCUCGUUUUUUGGUUUACUAAUGUGUGGUUGGCCACUCCAGGGGUAGUUAUUGGAGUGGUCUCCUUUUUGGUCCUUGCUCAUUUACGACUCAACUUACAUUGAUGCUAUUGGUGUCCCUAGGGGGUGCCAGAUGAAUAUAAACUGGCGGACCAAGUGACAGCUGGGUUUGAAUCAUCAUUUGGUUGGUGGUGUACAGUUAAUAAAAAAUGUGGACAGAAUUAACUACAUUCAUUUUAAUGUCCAGAAACUGGGCAAUUGGACUCAACAAGGCUUCGAGGCGGUCCAUGGACAAUUGGCAGCUACGUCCCUGAUGGCAUUUCAAAAUAGAAUCGCGGUUGAUAUGAUAUUGGCUGAACGGGGGGGGGGUCUGUGCAAUGUUUGGUGCACAGUGUUGUACCUUCAUUCCCAAUAACACAGCUACGGAUAGGAGUCUGACUGUAGCAUUGGAGGGACUUCGUACCCUUAAUGGUAAGAUGAAACAGCAUUCUGGAGUGGACACUACUAUGUGGGACUCAUGGAUGGAUGCCUUUGGUAAAUAUAAGACGCUGGUUUCCUCUAUCCUAGUAUCAAUUUCUGUUUUUGCGGCCAUUCUUGUAAUAACUGCAGCCAUAGACCCUAAUCAGGAAAGGGCCCAAAUGUUCCCAUUGCUUGAGGAUGGGGAAGCUGGACCUGUCUAUCUAUUUGAGGACUAAGAUACUUCUAUGUCACGUCUCUUGUGAGACGUGAAGAGAGGGAAUUAAAAAUUUGUCUUCUGACAAAUUUUAUCCCUUAGCUUUGUCUUUUUAUACUUUUAUGUCACGUCUCUUGUGAGACGUGAAGAGAGGGAAUCAAAAAUUUGUCUUCUGACAAAUUUUAUCCCUUAGCUUUGUCUUUCCAUACUUUUAUGUCACGUCUCUUGUGAGACGUGAAGAGAGGGAAUCAAAAAUUUGUCUUCUGACAAAUUUUAUCCCUUAGCUUUGUCUUUCCAUACUUUUAUGUCACGUCUCUUGUGAGACGUGAAGAGAGGGAAUCAAAAAUUUGUCUUCUGACAAAUUUUAUCCCUUAGCUUUGUCUUUUUAUACUUUUAUGUCACGUCUCUUGUGAGACGUGAAGAGAGGGAUUUGUAAGAAAUUGAAAUAGAGACUGGAAACUAGCAAUAACUACACUUCAACAUAAGCCAUAUAUUAUACAAAAACACACAUACUCCUCAUUUCUCUUGGAUAUAUGCUGGACUUAAGACACCAACUAUAGACACACAUAAUUCCCCUCCCCCAUAAUAACCACAGACACACCCAACCCAUGGUUGGACCUCAGGACAAAGAACUCUCAGGAACCAAUGGAACGUGGACACCAGGCCUGAUCAGGACUACCCAAGACCCAGAUCGACCAACCGGAAGGCCGGACUCGCAGAUCUACCUACUUUGCUUGUUGUCUAUAUAGUACUGAACAUUUCUGGAAACUGCCUCUUUCCCGGACGAUUCACUAGGAGUCAGACUGGAAGAGCCUUGCUGCAAGAUUUUACUAAGAUAUCUUUACAUGUAAUUAAACGGCCUUAUUAUAAAAUUA